This is a long non-coding RNA of Quercus lobata, 210 nucleotides long. RefSeq lists it as uncharacterized. The transcript has 3 exons. The record is from RefSeq and is a predicted model, not a curated record. NCBI's taxonomy places the organism in Eukaryota, Viridiplantae, Streptophyta, Magnoliopsida, Fagales, Fagaceae.
ACCGCCAUCACCUCCACCUCGGCUGAGUGUUUGUUGCUAUUCUUCUACUCAGCUCUCUGUUCACAAAACCUUGACACACAUUCACAGUUCUAGUGUCAUAGCUUGCCUUCGUGCCAACAGCUGGAGAUUGUGAUGUCUACCCCAGGUUUGUUUAAGGUUCUUCAACAGCUGGUGCAGGAGCAUCCUACUACAACCUUAGGAGUAAUUCUU